UGCGGGGUGGAGCAGCCUGGUAGCUCGUCGGGCUCAUAACCCGAAGGUCGUCGGUUCGAAUCCGGCCCCCGCUA
Molecule: transfer RNA, 74 nt
Organism: Microbulbifer sp. ZGT114
Lineage: Bacteria; Pseudomonadati; Pseudomonadota; Gammaproteobacteria; Cellvibrionales; Microbulbiferaceae
Rfam family: tRNA
About the family: Transfer RNA (tRNA) molecules are approximately 80 nucleotides in length. Their secondary structure includes four short double-helical elements and three loops (D, anti-codon, and T loops).
Source: Rfam